AGGAGUGUAGCUCAGCUGGUAGAGCGGCGGUCUCCAAAACCGUAGGUCGCGGGUUCGAACCCUGCCACUCCUGCCA
RNAcentral lists this transfer RNA (76 nucleotides) under Alphaproteobacteria bacterium. RNAcentral describes it as "tRNA-Trp". It matches the Rfam family "tRNA". Rfam says of the family: Transfer RNA (tRNA) molecules are approximately 80 nucleotides in length. Their secondary structure includes four short double-helical elements and three loops (D, anti-codon, and T loops). Lineage: Bacteria; Pseudomonadati; Pseudomonadota; Alphaproteobacteria. The record is from RNAcentral. RNAcentral also lists the same sequence under 2 other names.